Long non-coding RNA from Girardinichthys multiradiatus, 937 nucleotides. RefSeq lists it as uncharacterized. The transcript has 3 exons. NCBI's taxonomy places the organism in Eukaryota, Metazoa, Chordata, Actinopteri, Cyprinodontiformes, Goodeidae. The record is from RefSeq and is a predicted model, not a curated record.
CUUGAGUGUUUUAUAAACUAUUAACAGAAUUGUCAUCUUGUCUUAGAGUUGUAUGGUUGCUAUGCAGACUGAGCAGGAACUUGUGUGUGUGUGCGGGGGAGUUCUGGGAAGGAGGCUGAUCGCACCCCAGCCAUUCUUCGUGUCUUUGAAUGCCAGAUGUGGACAUGUGUGCUGUAUCAGUAUAUGGACAGAACCAGUUUUAUUCAGUAGGACUUGUAUUUGUGAAACUGUGUGUAGCCACACCCACGAUGCUGUAACAAGUGUUUUAUUUUUACCUUUCUUUAAUAAAAGGCUGUGACACAGGGCAGUUCCUCUAAGAGAAUGGUCUGUCUUUCCAUGGCCAGCCAAAGAACUUUGACUCGCUUGUGUCUUCAUUGCAUAACUUCUCUGAGUUAAUCAGUGUGUCUAACUCUGACAGUGUUCCUGGCACAUCCCACAAAGAGGAGGCUCAGGGGACGGCCCAGGACACGCUGGAGGGACUAUAUCUCUCUGCUGGCCUGGUAACGCCUUGGGCUCCCCCCAGUGGAACUGGAGGAUGUGUCCGGGGAGAGGGAAGUCUGGGUGUCUCCACUGAGUCUGCUGCCCCCGCGACCCGGUCCCGGAUGAAGCAGAAGAUGACGAGCAGAAACCUGAACCUUCUGAUCCUUCUUCAUUGAACUUUGACUUCGGUUCCAGAAGUUUCUGGACGAUCAGGUGGAUUUCGUUUGGAUUUCGUUUCCAAGUACCAAGCUGGCAGCUUCCUGUUAUCCUCCGUCUCCUGAACCAAGGCAGAAGCGUACCCUGUCCACCCUUCAGCACAAGUAAACCAUCUGGAUUUUCUCCGUUUCGCACACCUGGGUCCCUCUAUCCCUGGCGACCUGACUUCACUCACUUGUUGGCGAUUCUACCAUUCACGUUCCAGUAUCACUUUAUAAAUAAAACACCUUUCACUAAUUAA